Molecule: non-coding RNA, 23 nt
Filed under: Arabidopsis thaliana (thale cress)
Lineage: Eukaryota; Viridiplantae; Streptophyta; Magnoliopsida; Brassicales; Brassicaceae
Source: RNAcentral
CCACCGAAUAGUUGAUUGUUGCA